GGAUGGAUUUAUGGCCAUUGGAUCGUGUGAAAAAAAAUCCUUCUUCUAGUUAGUUUUCAGUCGGUAAUGAAUGUAGACCGUUGGAUCUUGCUCAGAAUCGAUUUGGGCCAUCAGAUUGUGCACUAGGAGUGGGCCACCACUGCUGAACAUGGUAACGCAUGUCCUCAGCUGUCCGAUCACGUAUUCAAAGCGAUAUCAGUCAUC
RNAcentral lists this long non-coding RNA (204 nucleotides) under Elaeis guineensis (African oil palm). RNAcentral describes it as "long non-coding RNA (EGUI_LNC065875)". The record is from RNAcentral. Lineage: Eukaryota; Viridiplantae; Streptophyta; Magnoliopsida; Arecales; Arecaceae.